ACGCUGGCGGCAGGCCUAACACAUGCAAGUCGAGCGGUAGAGAGAAGCUUGCUUCUCUUGAGAGCGGCGGACGGGUGAGUAAUGCCUAGGAAUCUGCCUGGUAGUGGGGGAUAACGUUCGGAAACGGACGCUAAUACCGCAUACGUCCUACGGGAGAAAGCAGGGGACCUUCGGGCCUUGCGCUAUCAGAUGAGCCUAGGUCGGAUUAGCUAGUUGGUGGGGUAAUGGCUCACCAAGGCGACGAUCCGUAACUGGUCUGAGAGGAUGAUCAGUCACACUGGAACUGAGACGCGGUCCAGACUCCUACGGGAGGCAGCAGAGGGGAAUAUUGGACAAUGGGCGAAAGCCUGAUCCAGCCAUGCCGCGUGUGUGAAGAAGGUCUUCGGAUUGUAAAGCACUUUAAGUUGGGAGGAAGGGUUGUAGAUUAAUACUCUGCAAUUUUGACGUUACCGACAGAAUAAGCACCGGCUAACUCUGUGCCAGCAGCCGCGGUAAUACAGAGGGUGCAAGCGUUAAUCGGAAUUACUGGGCGUAAAGCGCGCGUAGGUGGUUAGUUAAGUUGGAUGUGAAAUCCCCGGGCUCAACCUGGGAACUGCAUUCAAAACUGACUGACUAGAGUAUGGUAGAGGGUGGUGGAAUUUCCUGUGUAGCGGUGAAAUGCGUAGAUAUAGGAAGGAACACCAGUGGCGAAGGCGACCACCUGGACUGAUACUGACACUGAGGUGCGAAAGCGUGGGGAGCAAAC
RNAcentral lists this ribosomal RNA (745 nucleotides) under uncultured bacterium. RNAcentral's name for it is "bacterial SSU rRNA". It matches the Rfam family "Bacterial small subunit ribosomal RNA", at positions 33 to 773 of the family's 1533-position model. The record is from RNAcentral.